RNAcentral lists this ribosomal RNA (449 nucleotides) under uncultured bacterium. RNAcentral describes it as "bacterial SSU rRNA". It matches the Rfam family "Bacterial small subunit ribosomal RNA", at positions 94 to 541 of the family's 1533-position model. The record is from RNAcentral.
ACCGGCGCACGGGUGCGGAACGCGUAUCGAACCUGCCCCCUUCAGGGGAACAGCCCAUGGAAACGUGGAUUAAUGCCCCAUGGCAACACGGUAUCGCAUGAUAUUGUGUUUAAAGAUUUAUCGGAAGGGGAUGGCGAUGCGUAUCAUUAGCUAGUUGGUAAGGUAACGGCUUACCAAGGCAACGAUGAUUAGGGGCCCUGAGAGGGGGAUCCCCCACACUGGUACUGAGACACGGACCAGACUCCUACGGGAGGCAGCAGUGAGGAAUAUUGGACAAUGGCCGGAAGGUUGAUCCAGCCAUGCCGCGUGCAGGAUGACUGCCCUAUGGGUUGUAAACUGCUUUUAUACGGGAAGAAACCUCCCCUCGUGAGGGGAGCUGACGGUACCGUAAGAAUAAGGACCGGCUAACUCCGUGCCAGCAGCCGCGGUAAUACGGAGGGUCCGAGCGU